Molecule: long non-coding RNA, 322 nt
Filed under: Homo sapiens (human)
Lineage: Eukaryota; Metazoa; Chordata; Mammalia; Primates; Hominidae
Description: HSALNT0223579
Source: RNAcentral
CCCCUGGUGUUCCCCGACAGAUCCUGGCACAGAACUGCGGUCCCGGGGCCUCCUGCCAGCCUGCAGUGGCCUCUGCCCCCGACUCCCGCCACCGCCCCCUGCCCCAGUGCAUCUGUCCUGCCAGGCCUCCGUGACCACCUCCAGCCACAGGGGCUGUACUCAGCCUCGGGUUCUGAGUCACAGGUCGCAUCUCCCAGGCCAGCCUCCCAUUUCCCAGGUGGGCCACGAAGCCUAGAGAGAGUGGGCCCUACAGGCUGUCAGCGGAAACCAGGGACUAAGCCCAGGCCCAGUGGGGAGGGAGGCCGGCUGCAGGCUGUGGUUG